RNAcentral lists this ribosomal RNA (468 nucleotides) under uncultured bacterium. RNAcentral's name for it is "partial 16S ribosomal RNA". It matches the Rfam family "Bacterial small subunit ribosomal RNA", at positions 28 to 507 of the family's 1533-position model. The record is from RNAcentral.
GACGAACGCUGGCGGCGUGCUUAACACAUGCAAGUCGAACGGAAAGGCCCUGCUUUUGUGGGGUGCCCGAGUGGCGAACGGGUGAGUAACACGUGAGUAACCUGCCCUUGACUUUGGGAUAACCUCAGGAAACUGGGGCUAAUACCGGAUAGGAGCUCCUGCUGCAUGGUGGGGGUUGGAAAGUUUCGGCGGUUGGGGAUGGACGCGCGGCUUAUCAGCUUGUGGGUGGGGUAGUGGCUUACCAAGGCUUUGGCGGAUAGCCGGCCUGGGAGGGUGACCGGGCACAUUGGGACUGCGGUACGGCCCAGACUCCUACGGGAGGCAGCGGUGGGGAAUAUUGCACAAUGGGCGGGAGCCUGAUGCAGCGACGCCGCGUUCGGGAUGACGGCCAUCGGGUUGGAAACCGCUUUCGGCUGUGACGAAGCGUGAGUGACGGUACUGGGAAAAGAAGCACCGGCUAACUACGUG